This 1812-nucleotide ribosomal RNA is filed under the name human gut metagenome. RNAcentral describes it as "bacterial LSU rRNA". It matches the Rfam family "Bacterial large subunit ribosomal RNA", at positions 1099 to 2925 of the family's 2925-position model. The record is from RNAcentral.
UGUUGGCUUAGAAGCAGCCACUCAUUUAAAGAGUGCGUAAUAGCUCACUAGUCGAGAGGUCCUGCGCCGAAAAUGUACCGGGGCUAAACUUACCACCGAAGCUACGGAUUUGCAAGUAAUUGCAAGUGGUAGGGGAGCGUCGUAAUCGGGCUGAAGUCGUACCGGAAGGAGCGGUGGACUGAUUACGAGUGAGAAUGUUGGCAUUAGUAGCGAGAUGUAGGUGAGAAUCCUACAGGCCGAAUAUCUAAGGUUUCCUCAGGAAGGCUCGUCCGCUGAGGGUUAGUCGGGACCUAAGCCGAGGCCGAAAGGCGUAGGCGAUGGACAAUCGGUUGAUAUUCCGAUACCACUACCAUCGUUAUUAUCGAGGGUGUGACGGAGAAGGAUAGUGUGUGCUAGCGAUUGGAAAUGCUAGUCUAAGCGUUUAGGGAGUUACGGUAGGCAAAUCCGCUGUAACAAUUCUGAGGCGUGAUGGGGAAGGUCAUUAAGACCGAAGUACAUGAUUCCAUGCUUCCAAGAAAAGCAUCUAGAGAGAGAAGUAGUGCCCGUACCGCAAACCGACACAGGUAGAUGAGGAGAGAAUCCUAAGGCCGGCGGAAGAAUUGCAGUUAAGGAACUAGGCAAAUUGACCCCGUAAGUUCGCGAGAAGGGGUGCCUGCGAGAGCAGGCCGCAGAGAAUAGGCCCAAGCAACUGUUUAGCAAAAACACAGGUCUAUGCAAAACCGAAAGGUGAGGUAUAUGGGCUGACGCCUGCCCGGUGCUGGAAGGUUAAGGGGAGAGGUUAGCGCAAGCGAAGCUUUGAACUUAAGCCCCAGUAAACGGCGGCCGUAACUAUAACGGUCCUAAGGUAGCGAAAUUCCUUGUCGGGUAAGUUCCGACCCGCACGAAAGGCGUAACGAUUUGGGCACUGUCUCAACAACAGACUGGGUGAAAUUGUAAUACCGGUGAAGAUGCCGGUUACCUGCGACAGGACGGAAAGACCCCAUGGAGCUUUACUGUAGCUUGACAUUGAGUCUCGGUGCUACAUGUACAGGAUAGGUGGGAGACUAUGAAGCAUGGACGUCAGUCUGUGUGGAGUCAUCCUUGGGAUACCACCCUUGUAGUACUGGGAUUCUAACCAGAGGCCAUGAAUCUGGUCUUGGGACACUGUCAGGUGGACAGUUUGACUGGGGCGGUCGCCUCCCAAAAAGUAACGGAGGCGCUCAAAGGUUCUCUCAGUACGGUCGGAAAUCGUACGAAGAGUGUAAAGGCAAAAGAGAGCUUGAUUGCAAGACAUACAGGUCGAGCAAGGACGAAAGUCGGACUUAGUGAUCCGGUGGUUCCGCAUGGAAGGGCCAUCGCUCAACGGAUAAAAGCUACCCUGGGGAUAACAGGCUGAUCUCCCCCAAGAGUCCACAUCGACGGGGAGGUUUGGCACCUCGAUGUCGGCUCAUCACAUCCUGGGGCUGUAUUCGGUCCCAAGGGUUCGGCUGUUCGCCGAUUAAAGUGGCACGCGAGCUGGGUUCAGAACGUCGUGAGACAGUUCGGUCCCUAUCUGUUGCGGGCGCAGGAGAUUUGAAGGGAGCUGUCCUUAGUACGAGAGGACCGGGAUGGACAGACCUCUGGUGCACCAGUUGUCGUGCCAACGGCACAGCUGGGUAGCUACGUCUGGACGAGAUAAACGCUGAAAGCAUCUAAGUGUGAAACUCCCCCUAAGAUAAGAUCUCCCAUCCAUUAGGAGUAAGGGACGACAAAGACUAUGUCGUUGAUAGGUCGGAAGUGUAAGUGCAGUAAUGCAUUGAGCUGACCGAUACUAAUAACCCGAGGGCUUGACCU